RNAcentral lists this ribosomal RNA (506 nucleotides) under uncultured bacterium. Its description in RNAcentral is "partial 16S ribosomal RNA". It matches the Rfam family "Bacterial small subunit ribosomal RNA", at positions 30 to 523 of the family's 1533-position model. The record is from RNAcentral.
AUUGAACGCUGGCGGCAGGCUUAACACAUGCAAGUCGAGCGGUAACAGAGAGAAGCUUGCUUCUCUGCUGACGAGCGGCGGACGGGUGAGUAAUGCCUAGGAAUCUGCCUAGUAGUGGGGGAUAACUUGCCGAAAGGUAAGCUAAUACCGCAUACGUCCUACGGGAGAAAGGAGGGGACCUUCGGGCCUUUCGCUAUUAGAUGAGCCUUGGUCGGAUUAGUUAGUUGGUGAGGUAAUGGCUGACCAAGACCGCGAUCCGUAACUGGUCUGAGAGGAUGAUCAGUCACACUGGAACUGAGACACGGUCCAGACUCCUACGGGAGGCAGCAGUUGGGAAUAUUGGACAAUGGGGGGAACCCUGAUCCAGCCAUGCCGCGUGUGUGAAGAAGGUCUUAGGAUUGUAAAGCACUUUAAGUUGGGAGGAAGAGCAGUUAACUAAUAUUUGACUGUUUUGACGUUACCGACAGAAUAAGCACCGGCUAACUUCGUGCCAGCCGCCGCCGUAA